This 87-nucleotide transfer RNA is filed under the name Chromatiales bacterium. Its description in RNAcentral is "tRNA-Leu". It matches the Rfam family "tRNA". From Rfam's summary of the family: Transfer RNA (tRNA) molecules are approximately 80 nucleotides in length. Lineage: Bacteria; Pseudomonadati; Pseudomonadota; Gammaproteobacteria; Chromatiales. The record is from RNAcentral.
GCCGGGAUGGCGGAACUGGUAGACGCGGUGGAUUCAAAAUCCACUGGGAGCAAUCCCUUGGGGGUUCGAGUCCCCCUCCCGGUACCA